RNAcentral lists this ribosomal RNA (496 nucleotides) under uncultured bacterium. RNAcentral's name for it is "partial 16S ribosomal RNA". It matches the Rfam family "Bacterial small subunit ribosomal RNA", at positions 29 to 507 of the family's 1533-position model. The record is from RNAcentral.
AUGCACGCUGGCGGCGUGCCUCAUCCCUGCCGGUCGAGCGAACAGACGAGGAGCUUGCUCCUCUGACGUUAGCGGCGGACGGGUGAGUAACACGUGGAUAACCUACCUAUAAGACUGGGAUAACUUCGGGAAACCGGAGCUAAUACCGGAUAAUAUAUUGAACCGCAUGGUUCAAUAGUGAAAGACGGGUUUGCUGUCACUUAUAGAUGGAUCCGCGCCGCAUUAGCUAGUUGGUAAGGUAACGGCUUACCAAGGCGACGAUGCGUAGCCGACCUGAGAGGGUGAUCGGCCACACUGGAACUGAGACACGGUCCAGACUCCUACGGGAGGCAGCAGUAGGGAAUCUUCCGCAAUGGGCGAAAGCCUGACGGAGCAACGCCGCGUGAGUGAUGAAGGUCUUCGGAUCGUAAAACUCUGUUAUUAGGGAAGAACAAAUGUGUAAGUAACUAUGCACGUCUUGACGGUACCUAAUCAGAAAGCCACGGCUAACUACGUG